Anser brachyrhynchus (Pink-footed goose) is the source of this 758-nucleotide long non-coding RNA. The record is from Ensembl. NCBI's taxonomy places the organism in Eukaryota, Metazoa, Chordata, Aves, Anseriformes, Anatidae.
AUACGGACUUUAAAACCCAUCUCGCUGUGCCUGUGGGACAUUGUCAGCCCCGCUGCAGCUCAUUUGGAGAAGAAGUGGGAGCUGGUUUGAGUUCUCAGGGCAGCUUGUGGCUCCCCAGACCUGGUGGGCCCACGAGGUGCCCUCUGCCUCUUCCCCCCUUGGCUGCCAGGACCAGGACAAGAAGAUGGCGGCGGCCCCGUGCCACCCCACGGGGCUCGGCCUGCAGGGAGCUGCCUCCCUUUCUCUUGCACCGCAGCCUUUGUGCGAGUGUCAGCCGAGCAUCCCUCUCAUCUCCCAGAUUGAUGGCACCGUCUAGGACUUCCAGCACAGACAAGAUAAACUAAAGGCUUCUGCAGACAGGUGUGUGCCUACCCUUUCCACAAGUAAAGAUUCUGUCAACGUGCGUGACACUUUUGGGACAAGACAAAAAAUUUGGAUCCUGGGCAUGGCUGGUGGUCAGUGGUCAUUCCAUAAAGGAUUUCACAAAGCAACAGAAACAGAGACUCAGGAGAAGCCUCUGGUCAGGAACACAAAUGGAAAAAGAAACACGAAACAUCCCCGGGAUGAAUGCAGGAGCUGUCCAGAGCAAAGAGGGAAAUCCUGGUGUCUGUGAGGUAGCACGAAAACUGACAGGUACAAAUCCAACCUCUGAAAUGCCAGGCAGAUUUUCUCUGAUUUUUCCAGAUUACCUGAUUUGCUGACUUUUGGAAAAUAUUGUGAGAUUCUUGGACCAAAAUGCAAAUGAAUGACCUGCGAAU